This 484-nucleotide ribosomal RNA is filed under the name uncultured bacterium. RNAcentral describes it as "partial 16S ribosomal RNA". It matches the Rfam family "Bacterial small subunit ribosomal RNA", at positions 30 to 507 of the family's 1533-position model. The record is from RNAcentral.
AUUGAACGCUGGCGGCAGGCCUAACACAUGCAAGUCGAGCGGAUGAAGGGAGCUUGCUCCUGGAUUCAGCGGCGGACGGGUGAGUAAUGCCUAGGAAUCUGCCUGGUAGUGGGGGAUAACGUCCGGAAACGGGCGCUAAUACCGCAUACGUCUUGCGGGAGAAAGUGGGGGAUCUUCGGACCUCACGCUAUCAGAUGAGCCUAGGUCGGAUUAGCUAGUUGGUGGGGUAAAGGCCUACCAAGGCGACGAUCCGUAACUGGUCUGAGAGGAUGAUCAGUCACACUGGAACUGAGACACGGUCCAGACUCCUACGGGAGGCAGCAGUGGGGAAUAUUGGACAAUGGGCGAAAGCCUGAUCCAGCCAUGCCGCGUGUGUGAAGAAGGUCUUCGGAUUGUAAAGCACUUUAAGUUGGGAGGAAGGGCAGUAAGUUAAUACCUUGCUGUUUUGACGUUACCAACAGAAUAAGCACCGGCUAACUUCGUG